RNAcentral lists this transfer RNA (90 nucleotides) under Opitutia bacterium Tous-C4FEB. RNAcentral describes it as "Opitutae bacterium Tous-C4FEB tRNA-Ser". It matches the Rfam family "tRNA". From Rfam's summary of the family: Transfer RNA (tRNA) molecules are approximately 80 nucleotides in length. Their secondary structure includes four short double-helical elements and three loops (D, anti-codon, and T loops). RNAcentral also lists the same sequence under 3 other names. The record is from RNAcentral. Lineage: Bacteria; Pseudomonadati; Verrucomicrobiota; Opitutia.
GGAGAGGUGGCAGAGUGGUCUAACGCGCCUGACUCGAAAUCAGGUGUUCUCGAAAGGGAACCGGGGGUUCGAAUCCCUCCCUCUCCGCCA